This is a long non-coding RNA of Patella vulgata (common limpet), 1943 nucleotides long. RefSeq lists it as uncharacterized. The record is from RefSeq and is a predicted model, not a curated record. Lineage: Eukaryota; Metazoa; Mollusca; Gastropoda; Patellidae. The transcript is spliced from 6 exons.
CGCUCUUGUAAAACUGACGCCAUUAAACUGGGAGCACGCUGUCGCCAGUUGAGCAAAGAGCUAAGAAAGUAAUCGGACAAAGAACGUGAACAAAAGUAGGAAGAAUGUCAACCAAGAUAUUCAUUGGCAAUUUGAGCCAUGAAGCUCAAGAAGAUGACCUCAGACCAAUAUUUGAAAAAUAUGGUUCUGUUUCUGAAUGUGCUGUUCUCUCCAGUUAUGGAUUUGUGCAUAUGGACGAUGAGGAAGAAGCCAAGUCAGCUAUUGAAGGGUUAAAUGGUUAUAACAUCCGUGGUUUAAGAAUAAGAGUCGAGAUAUCACAUGGGAAAAAAGGAGAUGGGUCGAAACGAGGCCGUGGCGGCGGAGGAUUCCGUGGAGGACGAGGAGGUAGAGGUGGCCCCCGAGGAGGGGGAGGUAGAGAUCGUGGUGGUCCCUCAAGACCAUCCCCUUAUGAUCGUUACCCAGCUCCCUCUUCCUAUUAUGAUAGAUAUGAUCCUUACUCAAGGUAUCCAUACCCAGAACGAGAUUACUACAGGGCCCUUCCACCAAGGGAUCCUUACCGAGUUCCCCCAACAGACAGAUAUUCAGCACCACCCAGGGAAAGAUAUCCAGAAAGAUCGCUUCCAGAGCGUUACCCAUCGCCGUAUGAAAGGGAAAGAAUGCCAACACGAGAUGCCAGAUCAGCAUACCCAGCUGAGCGUAUUUACGAUAGAACACCAGUUGAGCGAGAUCCCUAUUAUGGUAGAGAGAGGGCAGCCAGCGACUAUUAUAGACAGUAGAUAAUUAUUUUUUCAGGGAUGCAGAUCCCCCUCCACAUGGGGGCAUCAAUGGUGCAACAGCGAAUAAUGGAUACGAUUCAUACAGACCUCUAAGAUCAUCUGGAGGAUCCGGAUAUGGAGAAGAAUCUGGAAGAGCAUAUGGUCGAGGAACACCUGGUAACAGCCAAUCAGAAUUACAGACAGAUGCCAUCUUCUUCUAGUUAAUCAAAAUGUAUUGUAUAUUUGUAAGGGCUUUUUCAUUUUAAGAAAAUAAUACAUAUUCGUCAAUCGCUUUGCAAAUAGAAUCCUCAAUACCUGGAAAUCCUUCAAACUCGAUUUUUUUGUCACUGACCAUUAGAAUCCUAUAAUACAAAAUAAACCCAGUUAAAGAAAGUUGAAGAUAAAAAUGCCAUGCAGACUUUUUUUCAAAAAUGGAACGAUCCUGAAAGUCCUUCAUGGCAUUUAAAGAGUUGUCAUGUCAGUAUAAAUAUAUAUGUAUAUGUGAAUUUGCAAAUUUUUAUUUAAAAUGUCCUCCAUUUGUAUUAGCUGAAGAGUUGUGUAUGUUGAAACGUUGAAGUUAUUUAUUAAUCACUACUUAAGCACCAUGUUAGCCACCAUUUAAUCUCUGUAUUGUAAAUCAGAAUCUUAAGUUCCUUUUUUAUUAUUUUGGAAAUAGUAAUUUUUUUUAAUAGCAAUUUGUAUAUCAUUCUUGAGCUUGUAUAUAUUUCAUUUUUAUCAUAGAUUAAUCAUGCUGAUAGAACAAAACAUGCUUGCCAGAACAAGAUCCAAUAGGUUGUUUUAUGAUAGUACUAACAAAAUGUAACCAUAGUUGGUCUUUUGUUUUUGAUUUAAAUGUGAUAGAUUGAUUAGUCAAAUAACAACUUGCAGAUCUUAUUUUAACACUAAACCCAACCUUUUAGUCAUCUGGUCACAAUACAGGUCUUGAUGAUCUGGGAAUGUGGCAUGAUCAUUUUCUAGGCAUUGUAAGGGAGGUAACCAAUGUACCAUUCUUCCGUUUUUAUUUGUCACCCUUUAAAAUGCUGUUAAAGAAAGUACUGUAUAUUUCUACCAGACGUAAAUAUUUUGUAUUUUUUUCUUUGGGUUUUAUCACCUCCAUAAUGUUGUCAUUUUUGUGCUAAAAUACUGUUGUAAUCAUGUAGAGAAUAUAACAAUUGGAAAUAUAUCAAA